CCUGAUAAGCUUUAGGUCGGUGGUUCGAGUCCACUCGUGCCCAUCA
This 46-nucleotide transfer RNA is filed under the name Streptococcus agalactiae. RNAcentral's name for it is "tRNA-Asp". The record is from RNAcentral. Lineage: Bacteria; Bacillati; Bacillota; Bacilli; Lactobacillales; Streptococcaceae.